GCAGUCGAGCGAGAAUCAGUCCUUCGGGGCUGAGGAAAGUGGCGCACGGGUGCGUAACACGUGGGUAAUCAACCCUCUAGAUUGGGACAACCCGGGGAAACUCGGGCUAAUACCAGAUGUCGCAUUCGGGUCUUCGGGCCUGGAUGUAAAAGGAGCAAUCCGCUAGAGGACGAGCCCGCGGCCCAUCAGCUAGUUGGAGGGGUAAUGGCCCACCAAGGCGAAGACGGGUAGCUGGUCUGAGAGGAUGAUCAGCCACACUGGAACUGAGACACGGUCCAGACUCCUACGGGAGGCAGCAGUGGGGAAUAUUGCGCAAUGGGCGAAAGCCUGACGCAGCCACGCCGCGUGAGCGAUGAAGGCCUUAGGGUCGUAAAGCUCUGUGGAGGGAGAAGAAACCUGACGGUAUCCCUUUAGCAAGCACCGGCUAACUCCGUGC
Molecule: ribosomal RNA, 436 nt
Filed under: uncultured Pseudomonadota bacterium
Lineage: Bacteria; Pseudomonadati; Pseudomonadota
Description: bacterial SSU rRNA
Rfam family: Bacterial small subunit ribosomal RNA
Source: RNAcentral